UGCAAGUCGAGCGGACCGAAGGGAGCUUGCUCCUUUAGGUUAGCGGCGGACGGGUGAGUAACACGUGGGCAACCUGCCCUGCAGACUGGGAUAACUUCGGGAAACCGGAGCUAAUACCGGAUAACACCGAAAACCGCAUGGUUUUCGGUUGAAAGGCGGCUUUUAGCUGUCACUGCAGGAUGGGCCCGCGGCGCAUUAGCUAGUUGGUGAGGUAACGGCUCACCAAGGCGACGAUGCGUAGCCGACCUGAGAGGGUGACCGGCCACACUGGGACUGAGACACGGCCCAGACUCCUACGGGAGGCAGCAGUAGGGAAUCUUCCGCAAUGGACGAAAGUCUGACGGAGCAACGCCGCGUGAGCGAAGAAGGUCUUCGGAUCGUAAAGCUCUGUUGUCAGGGAAGAACAAGUACCGUUCGAACAGGGCGGUACCUUGACGGUACCUGACGAGGAAGCCACGGCUAACUACGUGCCAGCAGCCGCGGUAAUACGUAGGUGGCAAGCGUUGUCCGGAAUUAUUGGGCGUAAAGCGCGCGCAGGCGGUUCCUUAAGUCUGAUGUGAAAUCUCGCGGCUCAACCGCGAGCGGCCAUUGGAAACUGGGGAACUUGAGUGCAGGAGAGGGGAGCGGAAUUCCACGUGUAGCGGUGAAAUGCGUAGAGAUGUGGAGGAACACCAGUGGCGAAGGCGGCUCUCUGGCCUGUAACUGACGCUGAGGCGCGAAAGCGUGGGGAGCGAACAGGAUUAGAUACCCUGGUAGUCCACGCCGUAAACGAUGAGUGCUAAGUGUUAGAGGGUAUCCACCCUUUAGUGCUGCAGCAAACGCAUUAAGCACUCCGCCUGGGGAGUACGNCCGCAAGGCU
Molecule: ribosomal RNA, 859 nt
Filed under: Aeribacillus sp.
Lineage: Bacteria; Bacillati; Bacillota; Bacilli; Caryophanales; Bacillaceae
Description: bacterial SSU rRNA
Rfam family: Bacterial small subunit ribosomal RNA
Source: RNAcentral